GGUCUGGUGGUCUAGCGGUAUGAUUCUCGCUUAGGGUUCACCCUGAGACGAGCUGCGAAAGCGGUUCAACAAUUUGCGAGAGGUCCCGGGUUCAAUUCCCGGCCAGACCC
Non-coding RNA from Microdochium nivale, 110 nucleotides. NCBI's taxonomy places the organism in Eukaryota, Fungi, Ascomycota, Sordariomycetes, Xylariales, Microdochiaceae. The record is from the annotation of a GenBank genome assembly.